UGGCUCAGUGGUUAAGAGCACUGGCUGCUCUUCCAGAGGUCCUGAGUUCAAAUCUCAG
This 58-nucleotide transfer RNA is filed under the name Mus spicilegus (steppe mouse). It matches the Rfam family "tRNA", at positions 8 to 63 of the family's 71-position model. Rfam says of the family: Transfer RNA (tRNA) molecules are approximately 80 nucleotides in length. Lineage: Eukaryota; Metazoa; Chordata; Mammalia; Rodentia; Muridae. The record is from Rfam by way of RNAcentral. RNAcentral also lists the same sequence under 1 other name.